UCCCUGGUGGCUUAGUUGGUAAAGAAUCUGCCUGCAACACAGGAGACCCAGGUUCAAUCCCUGGGUGGGGAA
Ovis aries (sheep) is the source of this 72-nucleotide transfer RNA. It matches the Rfam family "tRNA". Rfam says of the family: Transfer RNA (tRNA) molecules are approximately 80 nucleotides in length. NCBI's taxonomy places the organism in Eukaryota, Metazoa, Chordata, Mammalia, Artiodactyla, Bovidae. The record is from Rfam.